Molecule: non-coding RNA, 125 nt
Organism: Xylaria longipes
Lineage: Eukaryota; Fungi; Ascomycota; Sordariomycetes; Xylariales; Xylariaceae
Source: the annotation of a GenBank genome assembly
GCCCGCUUGGCUCAGCGGUAGAGCGUAAGAUCAAACUUAAAUCUAAAUCUUAACCAGCGCAUACUAACUUACUAUAGGCAUCACUAGUAAUGAUGAGGUCGUCAGUUCGACUCUGGCAGUGGGCA